UACAAGCUAUUGCCGUAGUAGUUGCAGUGAAUGGUGUGCAAACAGAGUUGAUCGUCCUCCUCGUCUUUCUUUAUUUUAUUCCACUGAGUUUGGUGCGAUUGUGUUCCUCACAAGUACCUGCUGCUGUAUGGCUACUCUGCCAACAGGUUAUGGGCCCAGGAUUUGAAAGACGUUAUCUUAAAAGAGCCCACAACCGAGGAAGAAGACGAACUACAGCAAGACGCUGGAAAGAAUGAGGAAGCUGUAAAAAUAUUCAGCGCGGACAUCCGGGGUAACCAAGGGAGAAGUAAUCGAUCCCUGUAUCAAAUCAUCCAACGUUCAGCCAAUCAAGUUACGCUCCAUUGGUCAUGUGACGUCGAAACAGGAACGUCGUGAAGUUCAAGUUCAUUACAGUAUUACAGUAUUAACUGUUACUGUUACCUUUGAACUUCACGACG
Syngnathus typhle (broad-nosed pipefish) is the source of this 437-nucleotide long non-coding RNA. RefSeq lists it as uncharacterized. The transcript is spliced from 3 exons. The record is from RefSeq and is a predicted model, not a curated record. NCBI's taxonomy places the organism in Eukaryota, Metazoa, Chordata, Actinopteri, Syngnathiformes, Syngnathidae.